Molecule: RNase P RNA, 442 nt
Filed under: Thalassoglobus neptunius
Lineage: Bacteria; Pseudomonadati; Planctomycetota; Planctomycetia; Planctomycetales; Planctomycetaceae
Description: Bacterial RNase P class A
Rfam family: Bacterial RNase P class A
About the family: Ribonuclease P (RNase P) is a ubiquitous endoribonuclease, found in archaea, bacteria and eukarya as well as chloroplasts and mitochondria.
Source: Rfam by way of RNAcentral
GGAGUGGGCUGAGUGAUCGCUGUCAUCCAGACAUUUGAUCUGGAGAUGGAGGAAAGUCCGGACUCCGCAGGACAUGGUGGUGGGUAACGCCCACCGUCCGCGAGGAUAGGGAAAGUGCAACAGAGAGCAGACCGCCGAUGGCUGUCGAACCAUUUCUUUUUGCCGGGGGAAACAUGCCUCUUGCAGGAAGAAAUUCACGGCAGCACAGGUAAGGGUGAAAGGGUGCGGUAAGAGCGCACCGCGGGGUCGGUGACGAUUCCGGCAUGGUAAACCCCACCAGGAGCAAGACCAAGCAGGGCGAAGUUGAGCGAGGAAACUCGCUGAGCCCGAGGUUGUCCGCCUCGGUUGACGUCCGGGUCGGUUGCGCCGAGGUGAUGAGCAAUCAUCAUCCCAGAGAAAUGAUCACUCACGACAGAAUCCGGCUUACAGGCCCACUCCACUU